UACGUAGGGUGCAAGCGUUAAUCGGAAUUACUGGGCGUAAAGCGUGCGCAGGCGGUUUUGUAAGUCUGUCGUGAAAUCCCCGGGCUCAACCUGGGAAUUGCGAUGGAGACUGCAAGGCUAGAAUCUGGCAGAGGGGGGUAGAAUUCCACGUGUAGCAGUGAAAUGCGUAGAGAUGUGGAGGAACACCGAUGGCGAAGGCAGCCCCCUGGGUCAAGAUUGACGCUCAGGUGCGAAAGCCAGGGGAGCGAACGGG
RNAcentral lists this ribosomal RNA (253 nucleotides) under uncultured bacterium. Its description in RNAcentral is "partial 16S ribosomal RNA". It matches the Rfam family "Bacterial small subunit ribosomal RNA", at positions 524 to 776 of the family's 1533-position model. The record is from RNAcentral.